AUAGUACUCCCUUCGUCCGAAAAUACUUGUCGAAAAAAUAGAUGUAUCUAAAUGUAUUUUACUUCUAGAUAUAUUCAUUUUUAUUCAUUUUCAUGACAAGUAAUUUUGAACUGAGGGAGUACAUU
Molecule: non-coding RNA, 125 nt
Organism: Triticum aestivum (bread wheat)
Lineage: Eukaryota; Viridiplantae; Streptophyta; Magnoliopsida; Poales; Poaceae
Source: Rfam